GACGAACCACACGAACGUUAUUCGGAAUUACUGGGCUUAAAGGGUGCGUAGGCGGCGCAGAAAGUUGGGUGUGAAAUCCCUCGGCUCAACCGAGGAACUGCGCCCAAAACUACUGUGCUUGAGGAAGAUAGAGGUAAGCGGAACGUUAGCGGUGGAGCGGUGAAAUGCGUUGAUAUCGUAAGGAACACCUGUGGCGAAAGCGGCUUACUGGGUCUUUUCUGACGGCUGAUGC
Molecule: ribosomal RNA, 232 nt
Filed under: uncultured bacterium
Lineage: Bacteria
Description: partial 16S ribosomal RNA
Rfam family: Bacterial small subunit ribosomal RNA
Source: RNAcentral